GACGAACCGUGCGAACGUUAUUCGGAAUCACUGGGCUUAAAGGGCGCGUAGGCGGGCCGCCAAGUCAGGGGUGAAAUCCCACGGCUCAACCGUGGAAGUGCCUUUGAUACUGGCGGCCUCGAGGGAGGCAGGGGCGUGCGGAACUUUGGGUGGAGCGGUGAAAUGCGUAGAUAUCCAAAGGAACACCGGUGGCGAAAGCGGCGCGCUGGACCUCUUCUGACGCUGAGGCGCGAAAGCCAGGGGAGCAAACGGGG
This 254-nucleotide ribosomal RNA is filed under the name uncultured bacterium. RNAcentral's name for it is "partial 16S ribosomal RNA". It matches the Rfam family "Bacterial small subunit ribosomal RNA", at positions 524 to 777 of the family's 1533-position model. The record is from RNAcentral.